This 447-nucleotide ribosomal RNA is filed under the name uncultured bacterium. Its description in RNAcentral is "partial 16S ribosomal RNA". It matches the Rfam family "Bacterial small subunit ribosomal RNA", at positions 29 to 507 of the family's 1533-position model. The record is from RNAcentral.
AACGAACGCUGGCGGCAUGCCUAACACAUGCAAGUCGAACGAUGCCUUCGGGCAUAGUGGCGCACGGGUGCGUAACGCGUGGGAAUCUGCCCUUGGCUUCGGAAUAACAGUUAGAAAUGACUGCUAAUACCGGAUGAUGUCCCCCUGAGAGAUCUUGGGGACCACAGAUUUAUCGGCCAGGGAUGAGCCCGCGUAGGAUUAGGUAGUUGGUGGGGUAAAGGCCUACCAAGCCGACGAUCCUUAGCUGGUCUGAGAGGAUGAUCAGCCACACUGGGACUGAGACACGGCCCAGACUCCUACGGGAGGCAGCAGUGGGGAAUAUUGGACAGUGGGGGGAACCCUGAUCCAGCAAUGCCGCGUGAGAGAUGAAGGCCUUAGGGUUGUAAAGCUCUUUUACCAGGGAUGAUAAUGACAGUACCUGGAUAAUAAGCUCCGGCUAACUCCGUG